This 253-nucleotide ribosomal RNA is filed under the name uncultured bacterium. RNAcentral describes it as "partial 16S ribosomal RNA". It matches the Rfam family "Bacterial small subunit ribosomal RNA", at positions 524 to 776 of the family's 1533-position model. The record is from RNAcentral.
UACGGGGGGAGCGAGCGUUGUUCGGAAUCACUGGGCGUAAAGGGCGCGUAGGCGGUCGAGUAAGUCAGAGGUGAAAUACCAGGGCUUAACCUUGGAAUUGCCUUCGAUACUGCUUGGCUAGAGGGCGGAAGAGGAUAGUGGAAUUCCUGGUGUAGCGGUGAAAUGCGUAGAUAUCAGGAAGAACACCGGUGGCGAAGGCGGCUAUCUGGUCCGCUACUGACGCUGAGGCGCGAAAGCCAGGGGAGCAAACGGG